Molecule: non-coding RNA, 98 nt
Organism: Mycena galericulata
Lineage: Eukaryota; Fungi; Basidiomycota; Agaricomycetes; Agaricales; Mycenaceae
Source: the annotation of a GenBank genome assembly
UCGGAUGUGGUGCACGGUGCACGCCCGCACACAAUAGUUCCCAGCUGUGUUUCUUUAUAUGUAUGCGGGAGUCCUGGGUUCGACUCCCAGCGUCCGAA